This 512-nucleotide long non-coding RNA is filed under the name Equus caballus (horse). RNAcentral describes it as "lncRNA (ENSECAG00000044620.1)". Lineage: Eukaryota; Metazoa; Chordata; Mammalia; Perissodactyla; Equidae. The record is from RNAcentral.
AGAGCAUCCCUAGGGAAAUCUGCAGAGGUGGAAAACAUUUUUCAGAAUUACUGCAAUAUACUACCUUUCAUUGAAGAUACUUACAGUGAUGGAAAUGUGUUAAUUAAGUUUCCCUCUGAAUCUUUGGGAUUGGAAUUGUAAAGUACCAUCAGAGAAGGACCCUUCAUCCUACAGCACUGCCCUCCUGUCAUGAGAUCCCACUGGGCACUUGCUCCUGCAGGUCUGGCCUCACUCAGGGAUGGCCUCUUCAUCUAACAAGAAGAAUAUGAAAGAUUCUUGAUCAAGAAAAGGGUCCUCAUAAACCUCCUGCUAUUUGGGUUGCCAAACCACGCUUGUGACUACCCAGAGCACAGAUUCUGAUGUCAGAAGCCUGGAUUUAAUUUAGCUCUCAUCCUAUCUAGCUUUGUGACCUUGGGUGCAGAAGGCAAAUUUUCAACAGAAUAUAUGGAGAUUUUGGCUUCCCAGCCACACAGCACCAGAAGGAACCAGACUGGGUAGAAGAAAUGUCUUCC